Molecule: ribosomal RNA, 337 nt
Filed under: Mycobacterium paraintracellulare
Lineage: Bacteria; Bacillati; Actinomycetota; Actinomycetes; Mycobacteriales; Mycobacteriaceae
Description: bacterial SSU rRNA
Rfam family: Bacterial small subunit ribosomal RNA
Source: RNAcentral
ACUGGGGGGCUUAACACAUGCAAGUCGAACGGAAAGGCCCCUUCGGGGGUACUCGAGUGGCGAACGGGUGAGUAACACGUGGGCAAUCUGCCCUGCACUUCGGGAUAAGCCUGGGAAACUGGGUCUAAUACCGGAUAGGACCUUUAGGCGCAUGUCUUUAGGUGGAAAGCUUUUGCGGUGUGGGAUGGGCCCGCGGCCUAUCAGCUUGUUGGUGGGGUGAUGGCCUACCAAGGCGACGACGGGUAGCCGGCCUGAGAGGGUGUCCGGCCACACUGGGACUGAGAUACGGCCCAGACUCCUACGGGAGGCAGCAGUGGGAGGCUGGGCCUUUCUCACC